This 279-nucleotide ribosomal RNA is filed under the name uncultured bacterium. RNAcentral's name for it is "partial 16S ribosomal RNA". It matches the Rfam family "Bacterial small subunit ribosomal RNA", at positions 506 to 784 of the family's 1533-position model. The record is from RNAcentral.
UGCCAGCCGCCGCGGUAAUACUGAAGGUGCAAGCGUUAAUCGGAAUCACUGGGCGUAAAGCGCUCGUAGGUGGCUUGAAAAGUCUUAUGUGAAAUCUCUUGGCUCGACCAAGAAACGCCAUAAGAAACUUUCAUGCUAGAGAUCAUCAGGGGGAGGUAGAAUUUCAGGUGUAGUGGUGAAAUGCGUAGAUAUCUGAAGGAAUACCAAUGGCGAAAGCAGCCUCCUGGGGUGAAUCUGACAUUGAGGGACGAAAGCGUGGGUAGCAAACCGGAUUAGAUA